RNAcentral lists this long non-coding RNA (1213 nucleotides) under Homo sapiens (human). RNAcentral's name for it is "HSALNT0382744". The record is from RNAcentral. Lineage: Eukaryota; Metazoa; Chordata; Mammalia; Primates; Hominidae.
UCAGCCUCCCAAAGUGCUGGGAUUACAGGCGUGAGCCACUGCGCCAGGCUAUGAAACAAACUUUCUUCCACCCACAGCUUUCUCGUCUCUCCCCAUUUACAGCAGUAAGACAGCCUAACCUGGGAAAGAGAGAGGGAAGCUACUUCCAAAUGGAUGCCUGUCCCCAUCAGUAAUAACCAAGUCUAUUCAAGUGCCAGAUGUUAACUUUAAAAGAAGGGAACAUCAAAAGUCCAACUUUCUUCGCCUAGCUUUGUCAGGAAUGUUUUUACCCUCAAUCUAAAACUAAUGGAAAGAUGGAAUAAAAUCUAAAGAAAUGUCCUUAACAGCAUAGUCACAAAGAGCUCUACCCUACCAAGCCACUCUGCAAGUCCCACUCUCAAAGGAAGACUCACAGGUGACUGAGAAGAUAAACUCGCUAUUGUUUCCAUUAUCCUUCAGUUCAUCUGGCACCUUUGAAGAAAUAGACUUCGAUAAGACUCACAAGUCUCAAGGCCCCUUCUUUAUGAAAGAAAUAGCUAAACCUCUACACUCAGAAGCAUCAGACUUUUAAGAAUGCUUAAGUCAUGUAAAAAUGUACCAAAAUUAUUAUCAUUACAGCUACUAGGUAAUAGCUGCCUACUCCAUGUUAGAUACUGUAGUUAAGUACCUCACAUAGUUUCACUGAUUCCUAAGAACACUGUUACUAACGCUUAUGGAGUAGGAAACUGAAGCUCUGAGAGGCUAUGCAACUAGUCAAUGGAAGUGUGGAGAUCUGAACGCUACCUAGUUCCAAAGGGUGUACUUUUUUCUAAAAUUUCUAAUUUUUUUCCAAUUUCACAAUGGAGGGAGAGUUGUGACUAGAUUUGUCCAACAAUUUUAAUAAUUUCACUGGCUGGGUGGAGUGGCUCACGUCUGUAAUUCCAACACUGUGGGAGGCUGAGGUGGGAGGAUGGCUUGGGUCCAGGAGUUAGAGACAACUGGGCAACAGUGAAGAUUCCGACUCUAAAAAAAAACAAUAAUAAUUUCACAAAAAGGGGGGGGCUGAUUUCUAAAUUGGAACCUCUUGUUGAAAUCCUUAGAGCGCUAGUUAAACCCACUUCUUUUCAAAAAAUAAUUGACAGAUUAAAAAAAGGUUAGAAAUCCUUUUAAAGUAAAUGUCAUCACAGAUCUGCAAGUGAACUGUCAUUCUGGACAGGUCCCCAGUUAGUGGCUCUCUCCUGUGUACGCUAGCUAC